UCUUUUAUCAGUAAACGUACUUUAUUACAAACAGGAACGAGAAACACAAUAUUUCGUUUUAUAAAACGCUCUUCUGUGUUGUUUCGUGUUUAAAGUUAUUUUACAAUAAUUAAUUCAGUCAAAAUUGCUCAAAUAUGUCCUCCACGUAUUGGCUGUGUAUAUUUUUAUUCAUAUCAGUGACCGUUUGUACAAAAAUGCUAACAACAGACGCGGGAUUUUUGACCUACAAAGAGUUUACAGAAAACAACGGUUUUAUCGAUAAAAAAGGAAAUAUAUUUGGUAUAAGACAGUGUAUUAAAGGUUUUGUGUAUCUCAGAGGAAAAUGUCGGAAAACUUUUAAUGGAAAAUGACAAUAUCUACAUCGAUUCAAUGCCACCAACACUAAGAAAAAAAUCUCUUAAUUUAAGACCUCAUUCGAAUAUAUUUCAACUUAGUUCAUAAUAUUUAUCUUUUAGGUAUUUUAUGUUUGCUAUUUAUCAAAAGUUGUUAUAUUUAUAAAAAAUAAUGUUUUACAUAUGUACAAUGCCAAGUAUAAGUUUGUUUUAAAUGUGUCUUAUGUGGAGCAGGUAUUUUUGUUAAGAAUAAGUUUAAUAAAGAAUAAUAUGUGUUUUGAUAGAGUUAUUUUAUGUUAGACUUACUAGUUUAUUAUUACUAGUCUUUUUUUAUUCUUCUGCAUUUUCUAGUUUUAUAGAUUAACAAAAAGAUAUAACAAUGAUAUUUCAAAUCCCUUAAGGUUUUGAUAAUAAAAAUAAACAAUAUUAUACUUUGUACUCCCCUAUAUCAAAUUACAUUUAUAUCAUAACGCCAUUUACAAGAAAACUCAUAACAUUUUGAAUCCUUCUACCAUUUUUGCAAUCAGUUUAAUAUGAAUAUCAGAAUGGGUGUUUUCUCAAUGGUUGUAUUUUUAGUGCUGUUACCCAUAGUAAUAGAAUCCCGACAUAUGAAACAUCAUACGACCCCAAGUGCUACAGAAUCUUCUACUAACUUCAUAGAAGCUUCUACCACCAGCAAUCCAACCAAAGAUUUUGCUUUAGGCAACAUAAUAACAACGAAAUGCCGAGAUGGUUAUAUUUAUGUUCACGGAUCCUGCAAGGAGAUCUUUGGAUAGCCAGGUGGACAGAAUGGUUUGCUUGCUUUUGACAUUAAGAAGAUUUUUAUAUUAAUAUUUAUCUAUAAUACGCUUUCCAAUAUUAACAAUCUUUAUUUAAAUCUAAUUAUACAGGGUCAGUCUUAAAUAAGAGCAAAUGUUUUAGGGAUUGUAUAUUUCGACCCCAGAAGCAGAUUUGAUCUAUAUGAAGUUUUAUUCGUGCAAAAGAAUUGAAAAUUUGAAAUUUUUUCAAAUAUUUUUGGAAAUUUUAUGAAUCUUUAGUUAAAAAACAUAACAUAUUUAUAAUAUGGCAACAUAGGUUGUAGAUUAAAUUUACAAGAAAAAACCCUAAAAAUGAUCCAGCGAGUGGUCCAAUCAAUGUUUUUUAAAUUUUUACAGUACAAUAACUCGGUUAUUUUAGACUUAUUUGAAAAACGGUAAAGAGAAAAUAUGUUUCUUUUAUCAAGAUCUGCCAGUCCUAAAAAUAUUUGCAUUUAUCUAAGCCUCACCCAGUGUAAUAUUAUGUAAUGCAAACUGGCGCUAUUAAAUAUGUAAUUAUUCUUUAAUUUGGUUUAGGUUUUUUAUGUAUUUUAAAUAUAUGUGCAAUAAGAUUAUUUUAUUUUUAGUAUACUUAAAAUGAAAACUAUCCAAAAUUAUUAACAACAUUAACUUACAAUUAUUGGAAUUUUAAUUUUAAAAUUUUGUAUCGCCUAGCGCAUUCGCCAUAAUUUUUCGAAAUAGUUUUCAAUUUUAUUAUAAAAUACAUGCUAAAAAGUGUAAAGAUAUUUAAUUUUAUAAUGUAAAUAUAAAUUUAUAAUACGGGAUAACAAAUUAAAAAAAAAUAUAUAUUUUCAAGUAACCAAUAGAUCUGAUUUUAAUUAUAUUUAAGAAGCCAUUUAUAAACAAAAUAAACAAUAAGAAUAAAAUUAUUGAUCAAUUUUUUACUCUUUCCUUCGCCAAAUUGUACAGAUUUUUGUAGACUUUUUUUAUUAGCUUCUAAAAAAAUUUAAAUCAAAACUAUAUCUUUUAUGUUUUUAGGAUAGUUUCUGUUGUAUUUGUUAGAAUAUAAUCACUGUUACUAAUUGUUGUUGCUGCUAAUAAUGGUAAAUUUUGCCAAUAUUUGAGUAUAUUGUCAAGGUCCGCGAAUUAUUAAUUAAAAAUGUGAUAAAUUCAA
Molecule: long non-coding RNA, 2261 nt
Filed under: Sitophilus oryzae (rice weevil)
Lineage: Eukaryota; Metazoa; Arthropoda; Insecta; Coleoptera; Curculionidae
Description: uncharacterized LOC115881081, transcript variant X4
Source: RNAcentral